CCUACACAUGCAAGUCGAGCGCAGUAGCAAUACUGAGUGGCAAACGGGUGAGUAUAAUGUGGGAAUCUGCCUUUCGGUUUGGAAUAACACGGGGAAACUUGUGCUAAUACCGAAUAAGCCUUUACAGGGAAAGUUUUAACGCCGAAAGAUGAGCCCGCACUUGAUUAGCUAGUUGGUAAGGUAAAAGCUUACCAAGGCAACGAUCAAUAGCUGUUCUUAGAGGAAGACCAGCCACAUUGGGACUGAGACACGGCCCAGACUCCUACGGGAGGCAGCAGUGGGGAAUCUUGCACAAUGGGGGAAACCCUGAUGCAGCGAUGCCGCGUGAGUGAAGAAGGCCUUUGGGUUGUAAAACUCUUUCGUCGGGGAAGAAAAUGACUGUACCCGAAUAAGAAGGUCCGGCUAACUUCGUGCCAGCAGCCGCGGUAAUACGAAGGGACCUAGCGUAGUUCGGAAUUACUGGGCUUAAAGAGCUCGUAGGUGGUUAAAAAAGUUGAUGGUGAAAUCCCAAGGCUCAACCUUGGAACUGCCAUCAAAACUUUUUAGCUAGAGUGUGAUAGAGGUAAGUGGAAUUUCUAGUGUAGAGGUGAAAUUCGUAGAUAUUAGAAAGAACACCAAAUGCGAAGGCAACUUACUGGGUCACAACUGACACUGAGGAGCGAAAGCAUGGGUAGCGAAGAGGAUUAGAUACCCUCGUAGUCCAUGCCGUAAACGAUGUGUGCUAGACGUUGGAAAUAUAUUUUUCAGUGUCGCAGCGAAAGCAUUAAGCACACCGCCUGGGGAGUACGACCGCAAGGUUAAAACUCAAAUGAAUUGACGGGGACCCGCACAAGCAGUGGAGCAUGUGGUUUAAUUCGAAGAUACGCGCAGAACCUUACCAACGCUUGACAUGUUCGUCGCGAGA
Molecule: ribosomal RNA, 904 nt
Filed under: uncultured Alphaproteobacteria bacterium
Lineage: Bacteria; Pseudomonadati; Pseudomonadota; Alphaproteobacteria
Description: bacterial SSU rRNA
Rfam family: Bacterial small subunit ribosomal RNA
Source: RNAcentral